This 605-nucleotide ribosomal RNA is filed under the name Agaricaceae sp. PA148. RNAcentral describes it as "eukaryotic LSU rRNA". It matches the Rfam family "Eukaryotic large subunit ribosomal RNA", at positions 52 to 642 of the family's 3401-position model. Lineage: Eukaryota; Fungi; Basidiomycota; Agaricomycetes; Agaricales; Agaricaceae. The record is from RNAcentral.
GGAGGAAAAGAACUAACAAGGAUUCCCCUAGUAACUGCGAGUGAAGCGGGAAAAGCUCAAAUUUAAAAUCUGGCGGUCUCUGGCCGUCCGAGUUGUAAUCUAGAGAAGUGAUGCCCGCGCUGGACCGUGUACAAGUCUCCUGGAAUGGAGCGUCAUAGAGGGUGAGAAUCCCGUCUCUGACACGGACUACCAGGGCUUUGUGGUAUGCUCUCAAAGAGUCGAGUUGUUUGGGAAUGCAGCUCAAAAUGGGUGGUAAAUUCCAUCUAAAGCUAAAUAUUGGCGAGAGACCGAUAGCGAACAAGUACCGUGAGGGAAAGAUGAAAAGAACUUUGGAAAGAGAGUUAAACAGUACGUGAAAUUGCUGAAAGGGAAACGCUUGAAGUCAGUCGCGUUGGCCGGGGAUCAGCCUCGCUUUUGCGUGGUGUACUUUCUGGUUGACGGGUCAGCAUCAAUUUUGACCGCUGGAAAAAGGCUUGGGGAAUGUGGCAGCUCCGGCUGUGUUAUAGCCCUUGGUCACAUACAGCGGUUGGGAUUGAGGAACUCAGCACGCCGCAAGGCCGGGUUUCGACCACGUUCGUGCUUAGGAUGCUGGCAUAAUGGCUUUA